AUUGAACGCUGGCGGCAGUCCUAACACAUGCAAGUAGCGCGAGCGGCGGACGCGUGAGUAUUGUCUGGGAGACUGCCUGAUGGAGGGGGAUAACUACUGGAAAAGGUAGCCAAUACCGCAUAACAUCAGAGGUGCGCAGAUGGGGUUAGCUAGUAGGUGGGGUAAUGACUCACCCAGGCGACAUUCCCUAGCUGGUCUGAGAGGAUGACCAGCCACACGGGAACUGAGACACGGUCCAGACUCCUACGGGAGGCAGCAGUGGGGAAUAUUGCACAAUGGGCGAAAGCCUGAUCCAGCCAUGCCGCGUGUGUGAAGAAGGUCUUCGGAUUGUAAAGCACUUUAAGUUGGGAGGCGUUACCAACAGAAUAAGCACCGGCUAACUUCGUGCCAGCAGCCGCGGUAAUAC
This 406-nucleotide ribosomal RNA is filed under the name uncultured bacterium. RNAcentral's name for it is "partial 16S ribosomal RNA". It matches the Rfam family "Bacterial small subunit ribosomal RNA", at positions 30 to 526 of the family's 1533-position model. The record is from RNAcentral.